AACAUUGCCUUUAGGUUAUACGUAAUUUAAGGUAAAUCUGCCCAGUGAACUUUCUAGUUUUAACGGCCGCGGUAUCUCUGACCGUGCUAAGGUAGCGCAAUCAUGAGCCUCUUAAUUGGGGGACAGUAUGAAAGACUCAACAAGAAAUAAGCUGUCUCUUUUCUACUAAAAGAAAUUUAGAAUUAGGUGAAAACUCCUAAUUUUAUUAUAAAGACAGAAAGACCCUAAAAGCUUUUACCAUAAUAUAAGUUUAAUAGAAAAGUAUUUAGCUGGGGCGAUUAUAAGUAAAAAACACUUAAAAUUAUAAAGAGAAAUAUCUCGAUUUUAUUCAUCCAAAUAAACACAAGUAAGUUACUUUAGGGAUAACAGGCUAAUACUUCUUUAGAGCACAAAUCAAAAGAAGUGCUUGGCACCUCGAUGUUGGCUUAAGAAUCCCAUUUUAUGCAGCAAUAAAAAAGGGGGGUUUGUUCAACCUUUAAUUUCUUACAUGAUCU
RNAcentral lists this ribosomal RNA (494 nucleotides) under Syllis patriciae. RNAcentral describes it as "partial 16S ribosomal RNA". It matches the Rfam family "Bacterial large subunit ribosomal RNA", at positions 1812 to 2606 of the family's 2925-position model. The record is from RNAcentral. Lineage: Eukaryota; Metazoa; Annelida; Polychaeta; Phyllodocida; Syllidae.